UUUAUGGAGAGUUUGAUCUUGGCUCAGGACGAACGCUGGCGGCGUGCCUAAUACAUGCAAGUCGAGCGCAGGAAACAAGCUGAUCCCUUCGGGGUGACGCUUGUGGAAUGAGCG
Molecule: ribosomal RNA, 114 nt
Filed under: Aquibacillus koreensis
Lineage: Bacteria; Bacillati; Bacillota; Bacilli; Caryophanales; Bacillaceae
Description: Virgibacillus koreensis Bacterial small subunit ribosomal RNA
Rfam family: Bacterial small subunit ribosomal RNA
Source: Rfam by way of RNAcentral